AAAGAAAUAAGCUAAGUCUAAGCUAGUAGGUUCAUACCCUAACUAUGGUUCCAACCUUUCUUUA
RNAcentral lists this transfer RNA (64 nucleotides) under Epeorus herklotsi. Its description in RNAcentral is "tRNA-Met". The record is from RNAcentral. Lineage: Eukaryota; Metazoa; Arthropoda; Insecta; Ephemeroptera; Heptageniidae.